Prosopis cineraria is the source of this 3787-nucleotide long non-coding RNA. RefSeq lists it as uncharacterized. NCBI's taxonomy places the organism in Eukaryota, Viridiplantae, Streptophyta, Magnoliopsida, Fabales, Fabaceae. The transcript has 2 exons. The record is from RefSeq and is a predicted model, not a curated record.
UACACGCAUGCAUAAGAUUUUUCCCCCUUCUCCUUUCUUCUCUAUUCGGUGGAUUUAGAAAAUCUAGAGCAAAUAGAGUGUGAGAGAGAGAACUUUGAACCACAACCUUUGCGUCUUCAUCGAUCCUAUCACUGUUAUUCUUUCCAUCUAUUGUUGGAGAUUGUGGGUGCAUUGGAUUUGGGUUCUGUUUCUUUCAAUUUUUUCAAUGUGCUGUGUUUGGUCAAAGUUCCAUCUCUUGUAAAGCUUCUCUGAUUGUGGGUGUUGUGUUUUUCCGCUGUGCUGUGUUUCUUUCAUUUUUGCUUCUCUAAUUGUGGGCGCCGAGAACAUCGAAGAUCUCCUUCCCUUGUCGGUUUUAUCUCCUGUCAAUCUUUGCUUCAAGUGGCUCAGAUUUUCCUCUGUAAUAUUUUGUGCCGUGAGCCCUUUUUCUCCUCUUCUUAUGCGUUAAUGGUGAUCUAAGGUAGGAGUUUCAAGUGUGCUUCCUCUUGUGGUUCUAUACAUGUGUGCGUAUGUGUUUAAUGGUUGAGAUAAUUUUUUGUGAGAUGCUGUGUGAUUUUUUCUCUUUCCUUGUUUGCUAUUAUGGAGAUAAAAAUUGAGUUUUCUUUAUGUUGGAGAUUGAUUUUCUUACUAGAGAGUAUAUUUGGAGGCUGAUGGAUACAAAUAGUUAUAUUGUAAAAUUUUGGGAAAUGGAAUUACUGAAGAAGGAGUUAAUUUUAGUUUAAAGGUUAAUGGCCAUUAGGUGUUCGAUGAAAUGCUCAUUAGGAGAGUUCUACUUUAUUAUGCAUUUUUUUGAAAUUUUAUUAAUUAUGGUGAGAAGCAUGAUUGAUUGGAAUGCUAUUUAAUGAAAUUUUAACUUGAGCAUUAUAAGGGACUUGAUUUUAAAGCUAUUUUGUGAUUGGUUGAAAUUUUGAAAGUUUAUGUUGAGUAGUUUAUAAUUAUGGAAGACACUUAUUUUUUACAAUGAAUGAGUUGAGAUUAGAGAUUUUUUUUUAAAUAUAUUGUUGUUGGUGAUUCAAACGCUAUGUUUGGUUACUUAAUUAUUUUGAUUUGUCAAGAUCAAAUGUUAAAGUUACUUUGUAAAAAGUGCUUUUUGUAGUAGUGGAAAUUUGUAUUUGGAUUGUUAACUUAGAUUAGGCAUUGUUGUUGGCUAUAAUAUGAUUUGUUAAACUGUGCUAGUGUAUUUUCAAUUGUAAAAUUAUUGGGAAGUCUAACUUUUAGGGGAGACUCUAUUAAAAUUUUUUAAAACUUAUUAUUUGGCCCAUUUCUCUAUAUGGAAAGGGCCAAUGAAUAUAUAGUUGGCUUCCCUCCUGCCUAUUAGAUAGGAGGUUAGCCAACCAUAAAGAACAUUUUUCUUCAAAGAGCUUGCUUCCUGCUUUAUUAGAACUUGUUAGUUGGCCCUAUUAUAAUAGAUUUAGUAAUAAUCCAUGAACUGCUUUGUGUUUUAGGAGGUAAAAUCAAACAUGGAUCGUAGUUAGAUAGAUGCCAAAUGAACAAGUAUAGAAUAUGUUAACGGGGCUAAGGAGUUUCUAGAAUUUUCUCAAAGCAAUACUGAAGAUGAUAGUAGGAGGUUUUCUUGUCCUUGUAGAGAUUGUUUGAAUGAGAGACGACUAAGUACAAAUGAGAUAUAUGAACACUUAAUUUGUGAAGGGUUUCUUAAAAGUUAUAGAGUAUGGCAUGAUGAAAGAUUGAACAUGCCAAUGUCAAGUACAUCUCAACCUCGGGACAUUGAUGAUGAUUAUAAUGAUGAUGAUAUGACUGAUCGGCUAGAGGACAUGAGUCGUGAUGUGGGUAAAGAGGCCUUUGAGCAAUCCUAGGUAUAUAAUAAUAUGUGUAGUGGUGGAGAGACACCUGUGUACCCAGGUUACGAGGAAUAUAAUCUGUUGAAAGCAAUGUUGGAAUUGGUAAGCUUGAAAGCUAGAUCCGGGUAAAGCAACAAGAGUUUCACAAAAAUACUCGAGUUGUUGAAAUUAAUGCUUUUGAAAGAGAAUAUGUUGCCGAUUCGUUACUACGAGGCAAAGAAAAUUCUAUUCCCACUAGGCAUAAAGUUUAAGAAAAUACAUGCAUGCCUUAAUGAUUGCAUAUUGUAUAGGAAAGAGCAUAAAGAGGAGCAAAAUUGUCUGGUAUGUGAGACUCCAAGGUACAAAGAAAACAAAGCUCCUGUAAAGGUGCUAUGAUAUCUUUCAAUUAUAUCAAGGUUUAAAUAAUUGUUUGCUAAUGAAAAGGAUGCGAAGAAUCUGAGGUAGCAUACAAAUGAAAGGAUUUUUUAUGGAAAACUUUAACACCCGGCUGAUUUAGAAUAAUGGAAGAAAAUUGAUACAUUGUUUCUCUAUUUCAGCAAUGAUCCAAGGAACCUCAAGCUUGGACUUAGUAUGAAUGGCAUGAAUCCUUAUGGCAACCUUAGUAGCAUACACAGUUCAUGAGCUGUUCUAUCGGAGAUUUACAACUUAUCUCCCAUGUUAUGAAUGCAGCACAAGUAUAUCAUGUUGUCUAUGUUUAUUUCAGGACUGAAACAACCAUGGAAUAACAUUGAUGUUUACUUAAGACCCUUCAUCAAAGACUUAAAAAAGCGGUGAGAGAUAGGUGUUAAUGUGUUUGACACGAAUCAGAAGGAGGUAUUCAAGUUGCGUGCGAUGAUUUUUUGUACCAUAAAUGACUUCCCUACAUAUGAAAACUUGUCAAGUUAUAGUAUUAAGGGGCAUAAAGCAUGUCCAAUUUAUGAAGAAGGUACAUGCUGCAAUCAACUUUAUCAUAGAAAGAAGACAGUCUACUUUAGCCAUAGGAAAUUUCUUGAAAAAGGUCACCGCUACCGUAGAAUGAGGAAAGCUUUCUAUAGUGGCCAAGAGCAUGAAACUACCUCAAAGCCAUUGACAGGAGAGCAAGUUUAUGAAUUAGUGAAAGACAUUAAUGUUACUUUUAGUAAAACUAUAAAGAGUAGUGAAAAAGAUAUAUGGAAAAAGAGGUUUAUUUUCUUUGACCUUCUAUAUUGGUGCCAUCUUGAUGUGAGGCACUGUAUUGACGUCAUGCAUAUAGAGAAGAAUAUGUGUGAUAGUAUUAUUGGAACACUUCUCAACAUAUCAAGCAAGUUUAAGGAUAGUGUGAAGGCAAGAUUGGAUUUGGUAGAUAUGAAAAUUAAAGAGGACUUACACCUAAGGCCAGAUAGUAAGUGAACUUAUUAUCCCCUGACUGAACAUACAUUGUGCAAGGACGAGAAAAGAAGCUUUUGUGAUUGCUUGCAUGACAUAAAAGUUCCCUUAGGAUAUUCUUCAAAUUUUAAGAAGCUUGUGUCGAUGAAGGAUUUGAAAUUAGUAGGCCUCAAGUCUCAUGAUUGCCAUAUCUUAAUGCAACAAUUACUCUCAGUGGCUAUUCGAGGUUUCUGGAAAGAUGAAUUGAGAGAUGUCAUAACCAGAAUUUGCUUUUUCUUCAAUGCUAUAUGCCGUAAAGUCCAUGAGAUUGAAGAAUUAGAUGAAUUAGAGAAGGAGGCAUAUCUUAUCUUGUGCCAACUUGAAAAAUUCUUUCUUCCAUCGUUUUAUGGGCUGAGACAUAUGUACAACAUCAUCACGGCCGGCUUAAUAGAAUUUACUGAAGAGAUGUUCAAUGAUUCAUCUCGAUUUCCACAAUCAGAGAUCCAAGAAAUUAGAAGACAUUGAGGAUUAUUUAUGUUAGAGCUUCACAACAACAAUCCAUUGAAUGAGUGAGUUUAGGAUAUGUAUAGUUGAAUUAGGAAAAAUUAUUGAACUUAUGUGGAUAUUGAAUAUUAAAUGAAAUUGUAAAUAUUUUUACAUUAAUUUAA